RNAcentral lists this ribosomal RNA (355 nucleotides) under uncultured bacterium. RNAcentral describes it as "bacterial SSU rRNA". It matches the Rfam family "Bacterial small subunit ribosomal RNA", at positions 8 to 349 of the family's 1533-position model. The record is from RNAcentral.
AGAGUUUGAUCAUGGCUCAGGAUGAACGCUAGCUACAGGCUUAACACAUGCAAGUCGAGGGGAAACGACAUCGAAAGCUUGCUUUUGAUGGGCGUCGACCGGCGCACGGGUGAGUAACGCGUAUCCAACCUGCCCAUCACUUGGGGAUAACCUUGCGAAAGUAAGACUAAUACCCAAUGACGUCUCUAGAAGACAUCUGAAGGAGAUUAAAGAUUUAUCGGUGAUGGAUGGGGAUGCGUCUGAUUAGCUUGGUUGGGCGGGGUAACGGCCACCAAGGCGACGAUCAGUAGGGGUUCUGGAGAGGAAGGUCCCCCACAUUGGAACUGAGACACGGUCCAAACUCCGUACGGGAGCA